CAGUCGCCGCGGUAAUACGUAGGGUGCAAGCGUUAAUCGGAAUUACUGGGCGUAAGGCGUGCGCAGGCGGUUCUAUAAGACAGAUGUGAAAUCCCCGGGCUCAACCUGGGAACUGCAUUUGUGACUGUAGAGCUGGAGUACGGCAGAGGGGGAUGGAAUUCCGCGUGUAGCAGUGAAAUGCGUGGGUAUGCGGAGGAACACCGAUGGCGAAGGCAAUCCCCUGGGCCUGUACUGACGCUCAUGCACGAAAGCGUGGGGAGCAAACAGGAUUAGAUACCCCGGUAGUCCCUGUCUCUUAUAC
RNAcentral lists this ribosomal RNA (301 nucleotides) under uncultured bacterium. Its description in RNAcentral is "partial 16S ribosomal RNA". It matches the Rfam family "Bacterial small subunit ribosomal RNA", at positions 509 to 807 of the family's 1533-position model. The record is from RNAcentral.